GCAGGUCCCGGGCGUCCUCUGUACCCAUGGGCUGCAGCUAGAAGGUGUUUGCUGCAAGCGCCUACAUCCAGGAAUGACAUUUUGAUGUGGGCAACAGAGCUGGCCUCAGCUUAGUGUUUUCUGUCUCAACCUAAGGUUGCCAUGGCUCAGUGUUAACUGUGGCAGUAUAGAAGGUUUUAGCAUCCAGAUGACACCUCAGAGGAAGAAUGUCUGCCCCCGCUUUCCUUCCCCCAGGCUCUGAAGUCACUGACACCUUUGACACCAUACUUCAUCCUCCGUAGCUGGAAACUAAGUCCUGCUUCCAAAAGAUCAUGCUGAGAAUGAUACAUUGGACUCUGGGACCCCACACUGAGGUGAGCACCAGCAGCUGGAAUGAUCUAGAAGGAAGCCAGAGGUGAAGCCAACUGCCUGAAGGCUGUUUUUUGAGGCAUGUACAAGUGAAUUUGGUUUACAGAACAUUAAUGUUGAUGGAGUGUCUGUCCAUCAUUAUAUGUAGGUCCUUCAUUUUGUACUUGAGAACAAGGGAGGUGAAGAAAGACCAUGCAAGGUCAUAGUGAAAAAAGUGGCCGCAUGGUACACAGAGAACUUGGAUGUGGCGGUAGUUAGUCUUUCACUGUCUACAUGGGAUGAAACUAGUAAGCUUCCUUUGUU
This is a non-coding RNA of Microcebus murinus (gray mouse lemur), 651 nucleotides long. NCBI's taxonomy places the organism in Eukaryota, Metazoa, Chordata, Mammalia, Primates, Cheirogaleidae. The record is from RefSeq and is a predicted model, not a curated record.